GAUGAAGAACGUAGCGAAAUGCGAUACGUAAUGUGAAUUGCAGAAUUCAGUGAAUCAUCGAGUCUUUGAACGCACAUUGCGACCCCUGGUAUUCCGGGGGGCAUGCCUGUCCGAGCGUCAUUGCUGCCCUCAAGCACGGCUUGUGUGUUGGGCCUCCGUCCUCCUCCCGGGGGACGGGCCCGAAAGGCAGCGGCGGCACCGCGUCCGGUCCUCGAGCGUAUGGGGCUUCGUCACCCGCUCUUGUAGGCCCGGCCGGCGCUUGCCGACACAUCAAUCUUUUUUCCAGGUUGACCUCGGAUCAGGUAGGGAUACCCGCUGAACUUAAGCAUAUCAAUAAGCGGAGGG
RNAcentral lists this unclassified non-coding RNA (345 nucleotides) under soil metagenome. RNAcentral's name for it is "partial contains 5.8S ribosomal RNA, internal transcribed spacer 2, and large subunit ribosomal RNA". The stretch from base 1 to 120 matches the Rfam family "5.8S ribosomal RNA", at positions 35 to 154 of the family's 154-position model. The record is from RNAcentral.